AAAAAUGCGGGAGAAACCAAUUCAAUUUGGGGCCGAAGGCGUAAGUUACUUGCUUGCCACAAGGAAUGAAACUCUCAGGCAGAAGGACCGUAUU
Molecule: non-coding RNA, 94 nt
Filed under: uncultured Garciella sp.
Lineage: Bacteria; Bacillati; Bacillota; Clostridia; Eubacteriales; Eubacteriaceae
Description: Glycine riboswitch
Rfam family: Glycine riboswitch aptamer
About the family: This family represents the bacterial glycine riboswitch. Glycine riboswitches usually consist of two metabolite-binding aptamers domains with similar structures in tandem. The aptamers cooperatively bind glycine to regulate the expression of downstream genes.
Source: RNAcentral